AUAUUGUUCAGCUAUCGGUUUUUCGGAAUUAUCUCCUGAAGUGUUAUUCAUAUAACUUCGCAUGAAGACUGACUCACAAUUGGGUACUGACAUGUCUUCACAUCGUGGAGUACCCAAAUAUCGAAAAAUUGUAUUUUAGAUAAACUUUAUCUUGAUUUACAUUUGAUUCUUCGAUUGAAUUUUAGGUUCCAGAAAACCUAAGCAAUUUUAAAUGGAAACUCCAGUAAAUUAAGACACUUUGCAGGGUUCUCUGUUAUUGUUCGAGGGCGAUCAACAGUUUUUAGGAAGAAUGAGUAUUUGGUCGUGAAGUGCGCGCUUUUCUAAUCCUUUUUAUCUUUCUCUUUCCUUACUGUGACUUGAAAGUCAUUGUAAGGUACGAAGACCUUAAGAGAGAAGGCAGUGUACGUAAGGGAAAGAAACACAAUGUGGAGCAUCGAUAUAUUCGUGGAAUAAGGGAGAGAAACCGACGACCAUAUCGAUCCAACCGUCGCCCGAUUGGCUUUUAUGUACGCGCCGGCAUGUUAUACGGGGUGUCUCUAGUAAACACCAGAAUUGGAAAUGAUAUAAUUUCACACUGAUAAAAAGGGGACAAUAGUAACAAUUUAUUCUUCAGUAAAUUCAAUAUGAUUCUUAGGUUUCUUCUUGCAAAAUGCAAUUUUGUUGCAUAUUUAUUAAUGAAAUACCAUUACACUUCUGGUCCACAACUUGCUGUCAGACUUAUUAUAUUGGAUUGUUACAAGUAUCAAAUGAUCACAUCGUUUAUUUGUUAGUAUUUUUAUGAAUAUAAAUGAAGAUUACAGUAGAAGAAACGUAUACACAUUAUGUUUUCUUUCGCGACCUUCACAUUUUAAGCUUCUUCUUCUUAUUUAUAUAGUCUGAUAUAAUUAAUGUUAUAAAUUAAAUGCUCUAAUUGUCUACGAUAUGAAGAUAACGAGAGAAUUGAAGGACUCACUAAUUUUCCACGAGAGAAAAAUUUAAUUUUGGAACGAAGUAAAACAGGGAAAAUGUCGCAGUAACGUUUCCGGGCAGGAAAAGGAGAGUGCAGGGAUCCUCGACGAAUUUAUGGUGAUCGUAUUAUAUAUAUUUGCAUGCGGCACUUCGGCGUUGUCAAGCCCUCUGAAAAUCCCUUCGCAUUUUUUCACUGCAGGAUUUCGUUUCCUGCGCGACCUAAUGGCACGUAUUCCCGAGACAAAGGGUAAAAAUGAAACGAGAACGGAUAAUAAAUGGCAGCUGGAGAGAGAAACGAACCGGCGACCCAGUUUCGUUAUAGUUUCAUUAACUAUUCUCAUUUACAAGUAAAUUCGUGAGAGAGGAAGAGAAAAAAGAGAGACGCUAGAGGGAGGGGAGGCGGCUGGAAAGAAGUGACUUCGAUUAUGAACGAUAUUAAACUAGCAUUUGCGGCCGUGUACUAAAGACUAAUAGGGUUACUGAUGAUCAUAAUGAAAUCUCGUAACUAACCGGUCAUAGUUCAGUGAAGCCUCUCAGGGCUUGUAAUUAAUUGCGAUUAGCAAUGAAACAGCGAAACGGCGCCGAUAAAUUAAUAGUGCUGCUGGUGCAAAAUUGGUGGCCAUGGGUUAAUUUCAAUCAUUGCGAUUUACCGACACGAUGCCUGAUACACUGACCUAGAAUAAUAAGAUCAAACAUGAUCAUUGAUACGAUUGAAAACCGGUAUGAACUUCUAUAAAUAAGGAUAAAGGACGAAGGAAAAUACAUGGAAAAAUAUGAGGAAGAAAAUCGGCUAGGAGAUUGAUAGGCAGAUGAAUUAUUUGGUUCAGGAGGAAAUCUGAAAUAUAAUUUGAAGGUGGGUCGAAGCUUCAUUUAAUUUUUGGACAGGGCGUACGUAAAAGCACAGAACUCUCUUCUUUUGAAGGGAAAUCGUUCCUCGUGCGUGCUGCAGCUGCGGCCGCUGACUCGUCUCGUCAUUAAUUUCGUGUUACUGCCUCGGCAUGCUUGUAUCGAGUGCACGUUCGAAUGGAUUAUCGAUUCUUUCAUCGUGCACAGCAAAUGGCAUCGAAACAUACAUACCUACAAGCACAGUAGCAAACAAAGUCUCAAAAUAUCCUGAAAAUGUACAUUUUUAAUGAAAUUUUCUUUCAACAAUUUCGUUAGUUGGUAAAUUGAUAUUACUUUCUAUCAUUACAAUUAUCUUCUAUACUGGUUACUCAUAUUCAUAAUUAAAAAUUGUAUUUUAGGUAGACCAUACUGUGUUUCAAUAAUAUUUAAUUCACGAAUUUAUGCAACAAUAUGCAAGCGAAGAAAAAUGAAAACAAUUAUUCAUCAAGGAAUAACAUAAUAUUUUUGUUAAUACUGGAAUUACCAUGUGAGUCAACGCUAUUUGUAAGUGCUUGACAGUAUCUGAGCGCCCGUCACUUCAAUUCAGAUCACACUACACGGACGGUUUUAAUACCAAUUUCAGUUAAUUCAGGCUCUUAAUGUGAAUCAGAGCGAUUGAAUUAAAUUGAACUUUUAAUAUUACGUCCCCUCCUCUUCCUCGAGUAGUGAGGUAAUAUUGUUGUCUUUUUUCUGUGCAAACAACUAACUUCAAAGGAAGAUUCUUUUAUAAAACGUAUGUACUUUGGUAUAAGUAAAAUUACCAUUUAAUUAUCAUUAUGAGAUAAAAAGCAACGAUGAGAUGUAAAUUCUACAUGGUUUCUCUCAUUGUACAAUAUUUCCAAGAAGCAAUCGGUUCUUUGUAUCGAUUAAAUCGCUUAAAUGGGGA
This is a long non-coding RNA of Bombus impatiens (common eastern bumble bee), 2719 nucleotides long. RefSeq lists it as uncharacterized. NCBI's taxonomy places the organism in Eukaryota, Metazoa, Arthropoda, Insecta, Hymenoptera, Apidae. The transcript is spliced from 2 exons. The record is from RefSeq and is a predicted model, not a curated record.